CUAUAUUGGAUGACCAGCUGUCUACCAUGAAGGAAAAGGACUUAUUGUAGGAUUCUAUCCCAUAGAUUGCUGGAGAACUUGGACUAAGGAGUCUGAAAAAGCAACACUUGAUUACAGAUGACAUCAUCAAGUUAUGGGAGAGGAAAAAAAAGAGGUGCAGGGCAGAAUAGAUACACUGGAAAGUCAGAAUUGAAUGAGAGUCAGUGAAGAGAGAAAGAAAUGGACAACACACGAAAAGAAACAUCUUGAGCGAGCAGUCAAGAGGACUUGUCGGAAUGAUCAUAGUCAGUAGGUGGCUAUUGCUGCACUGGUUCUUGUGACAAGAUACCAUCUGAUUUCUUGGAAAGAUUCAGGAUCUCCAGCUGGAUCUGUGAGUGAACUUUUAUAGUCUGUAGGAUAUUACUUAUUAAAAAGUAAACCAGAGAAAGAAAACUAGCUGCUUACAAUAUAAAUAGAUUGCUGCUUAGUGCUGUUUCUGUGAUUUUCCCCCCCCCCCCUCUUUUUAGUGGCUAGGAACUGUCUUCAUUUUCAGAGCACUGGGCAAGGGCCCAAUU
RNAcentral lists this long non-coding RNA (554 nucleotides) under Chrysemys picta bellii (western painted turtle). RNAcentral describes it as "lncRNA (ENSCPBG00000005690.1)". The record is from RNAcentral. Lineage: Eukaryota; Metazoa; Chordata; Testudines; Emydidae.